Molecule: ribosomal RNA, 253 nt
Filed under: uncultured bacterium
Lineage: Bacteria
Description: partial 16S ribosomal RNA
Rfam family: Bacterial small subunit ribosomal RNA
Source: RNAcentral
UACAGAGGGGGCAAGCGUUAUUCGGAAUUAUUGGGCGUAAAGGGCGCGUAGGCGGCCAUGCGUGUCUUCCGUGAAAUCCCUCGGCUUAACUGAGGACGUGCGGAAGAAACUGCAAGGCUUGAGUCCGGGAGAGGGGGGUGGAAUUCCCAGUGUAGCGGUGAAAUGCGUAGAUAUUGGGAGGAACACCGGUGGCGAAGGCGGCUCACUGGUCCGAAACUGACGCUGAGGUGCGAAAGCGUGGGGAGCAAACAGG